GAAGUAUACAGGGUCCAGUUGUUGCUUAAAGCCCCGAAAUUUCGGGGUUUUUUGUUAUAAAACAGCAGAACUUCUGGGCGUUAUGCCCUUUUUUU
RNAcentral lists this small RNA (95 nucleotides) under Morganella psychrotolerans. Its description in RNAcentral is "Gammaprotebacteria rimP leader". It matches the Rfam family "Gammaprotebacteria rimP leader". Lineage: Bacteria; Pseudomonadati; Pseudomonadota; Gammaproteobacteria; Enterobacterales; Morganellaceae. The record is from RNAcentral.